UCCCUGGUGGUCUAGCAGUUAGGACUUGGUGCUUUCAUUGCUUUGGCCCAGGUUCAAUCCAUGGUCUGGGAA
This 72-nucleotide transfer RNA is filed under the name Sus scrofa (pig). It matches the Rfam family "tRNA". Rfam says of the family: Transfer RNA (tRNA) molecules are approximately 80 nucleotides in length. Their secondary structure includes four short double-helical elements and three loops (D, anti-codon, and T loops). The record is from Rfam by way of RNAcentral. Lineage: Eukaryota; Metazoa; Chordata; Mammalia; Artiodactyla; Suidae.